This 378-nucleotide unclassified non-coding RNA is filed under the name uncultured Actinomycetes bacterium. Its description in RNAcentral is "uncultured actinobacterium contains 16S-23S intergenic spacer region". Lineage: Bacteria; Bacillati; Actinomycetota; Actinomycetes. The record is from RNAcentral.
UCCGAGUUGACCCCGGCAGUCUCCCAUGAGUCCCCGGCAUAACCCGCUGGCAACAUGGAACGAGGGUUGCGCUCGUUGCGGGACUUAACCCAACAUCUCACGACACGAGCUGACGACGACCAUGCACCACCUGUAUACGAGUGUCCAAAGAGUAGACCAUUUCUGGCCCGUUCUCGUAUAUGUCAAGCCUUGGUAAGGUUCUUCGCGUUGCAUCGAAUUAAUCCGCAUGCUCCGCCGCUUGUGCGGGCCCCCGUCAAUUCCUUUGAGUUUUAGCCUUGCGGCCGUACUCCCCAGGCGGGGAACUUAAUGCGUUAGCUUCGGCACGGAAGGAAUCGACACCUCCCACACCUAGCACCCAUCGUUUACGGCGUGGACUAC